GGCUACUGAGUAGUGAGUACCAGCUAAGUGGUUAACCCUUAUGGCCUUACCCUUACGCCUUAUGCCCUUAUUCUAGAUUUCAAUUUUCAGAUCUGAGAAAGUGAGAAGUGAGAGACAGACCGAGAGGGCGACAGUCGAGAUCGGAGACGACUCAGACGAGACUCCUCAAGUUCAAGUGUUCAACAGAGAGAGUGUGAGACAACAAAUCAACGAUCCACACUUCGAUCGAUCUCCCGUGCCGAGUCGCCGACUGACGAGUCACGACUCACGAGUGACGUCUGUGUUACUGUGCAGCUUCUUCUUCGGUUCUUCCCUACAGGUAGCUUCUUCUUCUCUACACUUCGAUCGAUCGACACUGCUAUGUUCUGUUUUUGUUUUUACUUUUUAGUUUGUUUCUGGCUUUCUGCUACACUUCUGUUUUUGUUUUCAGUUUAUUUUCACUUUUCAGUUUGUUUUCAGUUUGGGGUUACUAAAUUUCUUCAAUUUUGGUAAAACCCUGCAAUUUCGGCAAAAGAAGAGAAGCAAUUUCUGCAAUUUCUUUUGUUGGGGUUACUAAAUUUUUUCAAUUUUGGUAAAAGCCUGCAAUUUCGGGUUGAUAGAGAUAUCCGAGCAGGCCAGAUUUGAGAGUGUAUGCUAUUAUUUCUUGAUGAAACCAUGUCGAGGGUUUGUUGAAGUGUAUGUAUGUACGUUUAGACAGAAGUGACUGAAAAUAUUACCAAAGCUUUGUUCAAAAUUGUGUUCUUUCCUAUAUAGUAGUUUUACAAUGGCUUUAGCUCUUAAUUACCUUACCUGUAGUAAUACCCAGUUUUACGAUCCUCCUCAUGCCAGUUCUUAGGUUCUUUUACAAUGGUGAAUGAGUUAAUUCCAACAUUUUGCAAAUAAUUUUUUUAUACCAACUGAUCUACCAUGAAUAGAGGAGUUGGUAUACUGUACGUACUAGAAACUCCUCUCUGUGAAAUUUGAUACUUGGGAGAUAACGGACACUUGUCCAUAUUAUAUUUAAGUCUAUGAUUUCUUACUUUAUUUAGAUAAUAUAGAUAUGGAUGGAUGGGAACAGAAUGCAUGCAAGGCAAGCAAAUAAGAGACGAGAUCUGCCAACUAAUUUGAGCAUAUGCAGACAUGCAGUAGUAAUUUGUUUUGUUUCCAGGUAUGAGGGAGGAGAAGAAAGUGAUGGAUCAUAUUCAUAUAUGAUAUGAUAUGAUAUGGUUAGCUGAACCUGUCUGCCUGACCAUAACCAGUUAAAUGACAUUGUAUUACCCUGUUUACCCUGUUUAUCUAUAAAGUGAAACAUGAUGAGUUAAUGAUCAAGCAACCAUGUAUUUACUCUUGAUCAUCAUUGUGCAGGUACUAAUCAUGGAUAGAAUUACUGUGAAAGUCAUGUCUUGCUCUUGCAAAAUGGCAGAUAUAACAGAUGAAGGACUUAUGUUUUGUUAUGUCAACAGUCAAAUGAAAUGAAUAGUUUUUGUUUGAAUUUGUAAUUAUGUAUUUGGAUUUUGGAGCUUAUUUCUGUAAUUCUGUAUUUGCAUUUGGAUGAUACUUGUUGUAAUUGCUGCAAAGCUUGUUGUAUUUGGAUUAUUUUUUGUUUGAUU
Molecule: long non-coding RNA, 1589 nt
Filed under: Panax ginseng (ginseng)
Lineage: Eukaryota; Viridiplantae; Streptophyta; Magnoliopsida; Apiales; Araliaceae
Description: long non-coding RNA (PGIN_LNC013068)
Source: RNAcentral